UAGUCCUAGCCCUAAACGAUGGAUGCUAGGUGUGGGACCGUAGCGGUUCUGUGCCGUAGCUAACGCGAUAAGCAUCCCGCCUGGGGAGUACGGCCGCAAGGUUAAAACUCAAACGAAUUGACGGGGACCCGCACAAGCAGCGGAGCGUGUGGUUUAAUUCGAUGCUACACGAAGAACCUUACCUGGGUUUGACAUGGACGUGGUAGUGAGUCGAAAGGCAAGCGACCCUUCGGGGAGCGUCCACAGGUGCUGCAUGGCUGUCGUCAGCUCGUGCCGUGAGGUGUCGGGUUAAGUCCCGUAACGAGCGCAACCCUUACCCUUAGUUACAAGUGUCUAGGGGGACUGCCGGCGGAAAGCCGGAGGAAGGUGGGGAUGACGUCAAGUCAGCAUGGCCCUUAUGUCCAGGGCUACACACACGCUACAAUGGGCGGUACAAUGGGCAGCAAACCUGCGAGGGUGAGCUAAUCCCACAAAGCCGAUCUUAGUCCGGAUUGAAGUCUGCAACUCGACUUCA
RNAcentral lists this ribosomal RNA (514 nucleotides) under uncultured bacterium. RNAcentral's name for it is "bacterial SSU rRNA". It matches the Rfam family "Bacterial small subunit ribosomal RNA", at positions 791 to 1320 of the family's 1533-position model. The record is from RNAcentral.